GAUGAACGCUGGCGGCGUGCCUAAUACAUGCAAGUCGAGCGAACGGACGAGAAGCUUGCUUCUCUGAUGUUAGCGGCGGACGGGUGAGUAACACGUGGAUAACCUACCUAUAAGACUGGGAUAACUUCGGGAAACCGUAGCUAAUACCGGAUAAUAUUUUGAACCGCAUGGUUCAAAAGUGAAAGACGGUCUUGCUUUCACUUAUAGAUGGAUCCGCGCUGCAUUAGCUAGUUGGUAAGGUAACGGCUUACCAAGGCAACGAUGCAUAGCCGACCUGAGAGGGUGAUCGGCCACACUGGAACUGAGACACGGUCCAGACUCCUACGGGAGGCAGCAGUAGGGAAUCUUCCGCAAUGGGCGAAAGCCUGACGGAGCAACGCCGCGUGAGUGAUGAAGGUCUUAGGAUCGUAAAACUCUGUUAUUAGGGAAGAACAAAUGUGUAAGUAACUGUGCACAUCUUGACGGUACCUAAUCAGAAAGCCACGGCUAACUACGUG
This 497-nucleotide ribosomal RNA is filed under the name uncultured bacterium. Its description in RNAcentral is "partial 16S ribosomal RNA". It matches the Rfam family "Bacterial small subunit ribosomal RNA", at positions 28 to 507 of the family's 1533-position model. The record is from RNAcentral.